This 61-nucleotide transfer RNA is filed under the name Stenotrophomonas sp. ATCM1_4. RNAcentral's name for it is "tRNA-Gly". It matches the Rfam family "tRNA", at positions 1 to 60 of the family's 71-position model. From Rfam's summary of the family: Transfer RNA (tRNA) molecules are approximately 80 nucleotides in length. The record is from RNAcentral. Lineage: Bacteria; Pseudomonadati; Pseudomonadota; Gammaproteobacteria; Lysobacterales; Lysobacteraceae.
GCGGGAAUAGCUCAGUUGGUAGAGCGCAACCUUGCCAAGGUUGAGGUCGCGAGUUUCAGCU